RNAcentral lists this small RNA (297 nucleotides) under Uncinocarpus reesii 1704. RNAcentral describes it as "5' ureB small RNA". It matches the Rfam family "5' ureB small RNA". Lineage: Eukaryota; Fungi; Ascomycota; Eurotiomycetes; Onygenales; Onygenaceae. The record is from Rfam by way of RNAcentral.
CUUCCUCCACCUGCUGCGGGCAUAUAAAGUGUACAUGCGUGUCAAUUCCUCCCGCAGUCACGAUCUUUGCUUCCCCCGAGAUAACAUCGGUGGUAGAGCCGAUUAUCAUGUUCGGAGUCACGCCGUCCAUCACGUCCGGAUUUCCCGCUUGGCCGACUCCACAUAUAAGCCCGUCCUUUAUGCCGAUAUCAGCCUUGUAAAUACCAGUCCAGUCGAUGACCAGUGCGUUGGUCACGACAGCGUCCAAGGUAUCUGCAGAGUGCCUUCCUGUAGCUUGUCCCAUGCCAUCUCGGAUAG